AUAAUAAUCAUUAUUAUUAUUAUUAUUAUUAUUAUUGUUGUUGUUGUUGUUAUUAGAUUUUAAUAUUUUAUUAUAGUUAUUAAUAUAAUACUAAAAUAAUAAUAAAACAUAAAAAUAAUUAAGACAAUGUAAGCUUUAAGAACAUUACAUUUUCAUGAAAGCUAGGAGCAUUUGAUUACAUGCAACAUAUUACAGUACAAUAAAUAAAUAUAAAAAAAAAUUUGCAUUAUGACAUUUUUUUCCCCUGGAAAUAAGCACAUUUUUAAUCUCAAAUACCAUUUAUUAUUAUUAUUAUUUUUUUUUUUUAUUAUUAUUUUUUUUUUUAGUAAGGAGUACAAUACAAAACAGCUUUAUUUAUUGUCUUACCAUUAAUAGAAACCCUCUAAACAGAAUAUUUUUGAUUUUGUGUGAAAUAUGACCUAGACUUCUUGACUUUGGUUUUGUGAGAUUCACGUGUCAUAAACUGAGAUCACAAACACAGUCAUAAAAGUGAAAGUCCUCUUUGAUGCCAGUAUCUAAUCUGGCAGGUAAAUGAUGGUCUUGUUUUGAACCCUGUUCUCCCUCACAUUUCUGUGUGUGGUUGUGUAUCUGCCGUAUCAAACCAGAAACCUCACGGCUUCACGUAGAAACAUGUACGAGCAUUAAUAGUGUUUGAUAGAUGACAAACAAACUGAUUACUCGGUUAAAAAUACUGAAUUCACCUCAGUCCUCAUGUAAGUGAGUCUCAUAAAGAAAUACCUGGGUCAAAGUAAAAUUAUAUAUAUAUUUGUUGCAUAAAGAAUUUUCAUCAUUUAUUGUUCAGUUUCUCUCAAAAUUGUUACUUACAAUUACAAUAGUCGCUUAACAAUUCUAAUAAUAUAUAUAUAUACAUUUUUUAUUUUUGUUAUUUAUUAAUUUUUUUUUGCACUGCAGUCUUAAAAAAAUAGGCUUUAUUGUCUUUUCUGCAAGAUAUAGUUUUUUAAUUUUUUCCAUUUUGCCUUUGCGGUGAAACACGAUCUGUUUUCGACCGGUUUUGUGAGAUUCACUCUGAAAUAAAACCCUGACAUUUUUCAGGUAGUAAUUUUAGACCGUGUCAGGUGUGUUUCUCGUGCACUUUCAUAACACAUAACCCUUACGAUGACAUUAUAAUCAGACAUGUUGAAGGAAAAUUAAAAAAUAUCUCCCUCAUGUCAUUCCAAACCCGCAUUACUUUCUUAAAAAGAGUGCAGAAUAUUCAUGCGUCAUACCAUCAUUUAUGGACUUGUUUUUUUAUAAUGUGUUUCUUUUCAGCUUUUUGGAGCUUGACCUCGAUACGUGCUUUCAUAGUAUUGAAAUAAAGCAUGAAUAUUUGGUCUUAUUCUCCCUUUUUGUGUAAUCCACAGAAGAAAUAUGUGGAAUCUGGAGUCAUACGAGACUGGAAUGACGAGUGUGAAUAAUGAUGAGGUGUUUUAGUGAACUGUCCAGUCAGACGAGGGAGGCACUGAAAAAUGUCACAGGUUUUGUAAGAGCCUGAAAGGGAAGUUCCACAUUAUGAGUCUAUUCAUAUUUCUAUAAAUGAUCUACCAUUAAAGUGAUAAGACAGACAUGUGGACGGUGAAGGAAAGCCAACAAUCCAGUUUUACAGUGCGAUUCAGUUCACUUGGGUUCAUUUUUAGUGUUUGGUAGAACAAACAAAUCUGCCUACUAUUAGAGUUUUGAGCAGGAUCAGUUUUUUAUGGUGUUAAGAGCAGCAGGAUGGGUUGAUGUCAUUCAUACAACUCAGUUAAACGUGAGACGGGAUGCAUGAAUGUUGGGAGUUUUACGGUAGACAUGCUUGUUUCCCAAAAUAUUUAGGUGAAAUCUUUCUUUCGUUCAGCAGUUAUGUGCUUUUGCAGGUUGCAGGAUUAUUUUUAAACUCUAAUCAGCACUAAUGUGUACGUUCACUACAGGCUGUAGUUUUAUUUUUAUUUACUUAAUUAGCAAUACAAAUCAUCAGUGUCUGUAAGUUAUAUGAUUAGUGAAGCAUUACCAGAUGAAUCACCAUUAAAUGGCUGUAAAAAAAAAACAACAACAAAAAACAUUAUGCAUAAAGAAAAUGAUGCUUAUUUGAGGCCAAUACAAUUUUUUCCAUGUUUUAUUUUAAUUAAUUUUAUUCUUUUUUAUUCUCUUUUGCACUGUGACAUUUUCAUGGCAAUUACAUAAGAAUUUGUUUUGCAUUGUGAUAUUGUCAUGACGAUUACCUUUAUAUGUCUGAAUGUGUUCUGAUUUUUUUCCCUCAUUAUCAAAUGUGGUUUUCAUAAAUGUGUAACAGAAAAGUUUAUUUAAAUCAGCAAAACUGAAAGCAUUGCAUGCAUUAAUAAAAAUUAAACUGUAGUAGUAUCCCCUUUUUUUUUAUUUAUUUUUUUAUAUAAAGUUGUUUAAUUGUCAUGAAAGUAAUGUCAAAAUUCAAAACACUUCCUUAAGAGAAAAUAUAAUUAUUAUUUUUUUUUUUGGAGUGAAACAUGACCUGGGCAUAGCUGAGAGAUUCCCCUACCAGCAGAGUACAUGAAGUUUUGUUUUUCUGUGUGUAAUAUUAAUUUCCUGUAAAAGCCCAUUCAUUUAAUGGAGGUCAAAAGAAUCUGUAACGCAGAUAAGAAGUGACGUGUCCCUCGGUCGUUCUGAGGGAAUGUGAAGGGCUUGUGUGGUGAGCAUCCGGAAAUGCUACCUAACUAAUGUAGUCUUCUUAACUUUUUUUAGGGUUUAUUGUUUAUAUAUAUUAGAUUAAAUGUAUUUGAUCAUGUGACCAAACUGUCUCAGAUUUGUGUUCAUCUUCUCUUUCCUCAUACAUGCUUUUUAUUCUGUUCUGAGUUGAUGAACUCUCUGUUGAUGUCUUCAGCACUGCUAAAUACAGUUAAAUGUUAUUUUUCACGUCUUGAAGAGCAUCUUGUGUUUAUCUGUUGUGAUUAUAAGGUGUCCAAUAAAGAACUGCACGAUCUUUAAAAGCAAA
Molecule: long non-coding RNA, 2944 nt
Organism: Cyprinus carpio carpio
Lineage: Eukaryota; Metazoa; Chordata; Actinopteri; Cypriniformes; Cyprinidae
Source: Ensembl